RNAcentral lists this long non-coding RNA (349 nucleotides) under Linum usitatissimum (flax). RNAcentral's name for it is "long non-coding RNA (LUSI_LNC001226)". The record is from RNAcentral. Lineage: Eukaryota; Viridiplantae; Streptophyta; Magnoliopsida; Malpighiales; Linaceae.
GUGCAGUUCAGUCUCCACAGAGUACUUCAUCGGGCAGCGGUUGCUCCAGUCAAGCUGUCAGCCCACAGAGGUCACCAACUCCUCCUGGUCCCGGAAAUCAAUGUCCUGACGAAGUUCAUUUUCGUCCUGAUUUUGAGAUUCCAGACUUUAGGUUAUCUGGUAAUAGCUCACCAUCGUCCUUAGUGAAACAUGUGCAGCAAUGUAGUCGUGAUAUUUCCCCACUCCAUAGCCCAACUAUACCAAGUGCUUUCUCCAACCCAGGAAGUCCAACUAUAUCUGCACGGCAUCAAAGCAAAUCAGGUCCUUUGAGUUGUAAAGAUUCCCCUGAAAGCAGCAAUCAGCUCAAUCC